Molecule: ribosomal RNA, 429 nt
Filed under: Acidobacteriota bacterium
Lineage: Bacteria; Pseudomonadati; Acidobacteriota
Description: Acidobacteria bacterium partial 16S ribosomal RNA
Rfam family: Bacterial small subunit ribosomal RNA
Source: RNAcentral
UGGGGAAUUUUGGACAAUGGGGGAAACCCUGAUCCAGCCAUCCCGCGUGUGCGAUGAAGGCCUUCGGGGUGUAAAGCACUUUUGGCAGGAAAGAAACGUCAUGGGUUAAUACCCCGUGAAACUGACGGUACCUGCAGAAUAAGCACCGGCUAACUACGUGCCAGCAGCCGCGGUAAUACGUAGGGUGCAAGCGUUAAUCGGAAUUACUGGGCGUAAAGCGUGCGCAGGCGGUUCGGAAAGAAAGAUGUGAAAUCCCAGAGCUCAACUUUGGAACUGCAUUUUUAACUACCGGGCUAGAGUGUGUCAGAGGGAGGUGGAAUUCCGCGUGUAGCAGUGAAAUGCGUAGAUAUGCGGAGGAACACCGAUGGCGAAGGCAGCCUCCUGGGAUAACACUGACGCUCAUGCACGAAAGCGUGGGGAGCAAACAGG